This 1755-nucleotide long non-coding RNA is filed under the name Equus asinus (donkey). RNAcentral's name for it is "lncRNA (ENSEASG00005031995.1)". Lineage: Eukaryota; Metazoa; Chordata; Mammalia; Perissodactyla; Equidae. The record is from RNAcentral.
CUCUCCUCACUCCUAAACUGGGGCUCUGGGGAGCAGUAUACCGUUGAAUCACUUUCCCCAUUCUGCCAACGUCUGUCUUCUGAUUGGAGCGUUUAAAUCGUUAUUGUUGGAGGCCUCGCGCUCACGGGGUUACCUGUCCUUACAGGCUUCGUUCCGAAGACUUAACCCCUGAAAGCACUAACGUGUCUCCGACCGAUGCCGGAGCCUGUCACUUACAGUCCUUGCCGCUUUCCCCGCAGCUGUCUACAGUAUUUGAAUUACUGUCUUCUUCUUCGCAUUUCUGGUUACUAGUCAACAACUGUUUAAUUUCUAUCCAAGGAUGAUUAAAUCGACGUACACUGAAACAAGAAAUGUGCACUCACAAUACUAAAGGAUGACCUGGUCCGUGAUACUUUGGUCGCUUCCUCUGCUUAUUGGUUCGACAAGCCUCCUAGGUCUGGUACGCUGCUCGCUCACACCUACUACUCAACCCUCGACGAUUUAGGUGUGGUUGUUCCUCUCUGGGCAGGAGCAGUAAUUGCCCGUUUUUGCCAUAAAUCUAAAGCGUGUGGAUGGUGGGAGAGAGAAACUGCCUUUUCCUCUGUGGGGCCAACCAUCUGGAGACAUUGGGACGAGACUUGUCUGCACAAAGAGAGAAUGACAUCAAACUACACCAAACAUUUGGAAAUUUCGGGGCGAGAGACUUGAGGACGUGAUUCGAAUCCUGAGGUCGCCUCCCCCUGAUGCGGGGCAGGUGCUGGGAACACAGCAUGCAACCGGCAAGAGGCCAUCUCUGCCCUCAGGAGGUCUUGGAGGAGCCUGGUGGGAGACACAGCUACAUAACCAGGAGACGGCAACUCCGGGUGAUGAGGACUUCAGGGGAAGCUGGAAGUUGGAGAGGCAGCUACCUCAUCAGGGGUGUGGGAGGCAGGGUGAGCUUCCUGGAGGAGGUGACUUGUGAUCUGCAACCUGUUGACUGAGGCAGAUAACCCGCUGUGAGCCCUACCCAAGGACCUGGGCGGCAUUUCAGGGCUCCUCCUGCAACUUGUCCACGACGAAUUCACCUGCUUCAAAGGCGAGGAUCACCGUGUGAGGAGGGUGCUCAUCUGGUCAUCAUCACUGCCAAGCAGAGCAGUGCUCAACUAGGAACCCUACUGGGCUCUUUUCCCUCACUGAAUCUUCAGAGAAAUCCUGGAAGCACCUGCCAUAGCCAUCUCCAUUUUACCAACGAGGAGCCUGAGGAUCAAAUUCCCGAGUUCAGCGGAAGAUGUUGUGUCCUGGACCAGCCUUUGGAAACAGUACCCAAAGGGCAUCUAUCAGUGGAGAGGUGGCUCAGCCCCACCUUCAUCAGCUGGCCUCAUGCUGAAUCUUAUUGCCAGGAUUGUGUCUACAUGAGGAAGGCUGGCUCCCGGUCCUCUGAUGCGUGCUGUGUAUAUCGGUGCUGUAGUUGGAUCUGCGAGAAGCCACGGGUCUGCUGAGCCUGCUCCCUUUCCUCUGUCUCCAGGCUCAGGAGAGAUUGUCUUGAUGUGUGACCCCAUAACAAUGCCCUGACUUCUCUGCAGAAAGGACGUCUCCUGCAGGCCCCAGUCCUCGUGGGAGCAUCUUCCUCCUCUCUUGCCUCUGCUUCUCAGUUCUGCAGAGGAACAUGUAAAGUGACACCACGAUGAAACAAUGUGCAAAAUAUAUCAUAUAGGACUUUCUAAGACCAGUAAUUCAGUUUUUUCAAAAGAAGAAGAAAUGACAUGAAUAAUGGAGAAUGUAGGAUUGUUGGGAAAU